This 5943-nucleotide long non-coding RNA is filed under the name Sus scrofa (pig). Its description in RNAcentral is "lncRNA (ENSSSCG00000061292.1)". The record is from RNAcentral. Lineage: Eukaryota; Metazoa; Chordata; Mammalia; Artiodactyla; Suidae.
GCCCUGCACGGGGGGGGGGGGGGGGCUUCUGUGCCUGGGGUAGCAGGGCAGUGGGCUGCCCAGAGAAGCACAGCCUCCGCAUCUGGCGGGGUCUGAGGGGUGGCCCCGGACCCUGGACUGGGUGAGGUGCUGGCCGGGCAGGGUGGGCUGUGGCUGGGGGGCCACUGAGGAGCGUGUUUGCCCAGCUGCGGUCAGCUGGGCGGAGCGUCUGGGCUGGGUCAGCGCGCGUGCGCGCACACACACACGCACACACACUCCCCCUCUCUCCGCCUGGGUGGUCCCUGCCGCCUCCUGUGGCCCGUCUGCUGGUGGACACAGAGGGCCCCAGGCCAGUAGGAAGCAGGGAAAGGCCGAGGGCUCCCAUGGGCCCGCAUCUCGGAGCUUCUGAGCACAUCUGUCCAGAUGCGACGCAGGCCGACCCGGCCCCUGGCAUCUGGGGGCCCGUGGGUCUCAGUCUCCCCUCCGGAAAGUGGGGUUUGUGGGCAUCCUUGGGGGCGGAGUGCAGGGGCGCCCUCCCCACUGCAGGGGAGUGGCCGCAGCUGGGGUUGGGGUGUGGCUGGGGGGUCUUUCCCGGCCCCCCAAAAUGCCUGUGCAGGCCUCCUCAGUCUGAGAAGCCAGGUUGUGACAAGAGAGCGUGCGGCCCUUUAGAGUGGGGACGGAGAGGGCCCUGGAGGCCACUGCAUCCUACACACGCGUGUGCACACACCCACAUACACACCCACGCACACACCCACACACAUACAUCCCCGCACACGCACACGGGCUCGCACAUGCGGGAAGUGCUCCCUAGAAGGGCCAUUGGGAGCAGGGGGCCUGGGCCUGACCCCGCUGGGACAGCGGGCUGGUGCCUGGGCUGUGGCCUGUCCACCUGCACAGCUGGGGGCGCUGCCCCUGCCCUCUUCCCGUGACCUCCACUGCCUCCCACCAGCCUCCCCCUGCCUGGGGAUUUUGAGGCCUUAAGCCCACCCACCCUGAGCAGGGCUCUGGUCCCCGUGAGUCCCAGGUGCCAGCCCAGCCAGCCUGCCCAGCCACCACCGCACCUUGGGUGCAGACAGGGCAGCUCCUCCCCCGAACGCGGAGCCGGCUGAGCUGAGUCACCUCACCACUGAGGGGGAGCGCUGCCACCCAGUGCCGCAGCCCCCCCUUCCCCAGGACUCACAGGCCAGGCUGAGCCCCCUUCUGAGGGGUGGCCAGGGAUCAGGCAUCAGUGUCCAGAGGACCUGGGCCCUGUUCUUCUACGGGCUGUGGGCUCAGGCUUGGGGGUCCGUCGUUCGCGAUGGGACCGCCACAUUGGGCCCGUGGGCUCCUGUGGCCACAAGUGAUCUUUGGCGUCCAUGCCAGGGCCCUGCCUGCCCCAGCUGCUCCAUGGCCUCCUUCUGGGAGGCGCCUGGCCAGGGCUCCCAGCUCCUCCUCCAUCCAGAGAAACCCUGCGUCCCAGGGUCAAAGAUGGGCCCUCUUCCUCCGAAGCCCCCCCAGAGGUCUUGGGCCCUGCAGAGCCGCCCCUGGAGAGCUGGUGUCACUGUCGUCAUGGUCGUCGCCCCCCGCCCCCGUGGAAAAGCGGCUCCUGCCUGUCGGCUGUGGCGCUGGCCAGGUGGGGAAGAGGCUGACCUGUGCCAGGGGCUUCCUUUGGGUUAUAGGUUGUCCCAUGGGUUGUCGAGUGAGGCCACCAGGCCGGACGCAGGCGCGAAAGACCUUGCCCCGGGCCCCCUAGCCACGUGGCGGCAGGGCCAGGAAUGACCGGACCCGGCAGACCUUUGGCUGCGCCUUCCGGGCCGUGCUUCCCAGGUGAGAGACCCAGGGAGCCCGGGCCUGUGGGACAGAGCUGCUUUUGUCUUUAUGUGUGACCCACUCCGCAGGCCCCGGGCAGCCCCCCACCUUGGUUGUCCCCAGAACAAAGCCGGCUCUGCCAGACCGGCCGCCGCAGAGGCUUCAAUCAGAGCAGGUGGAAGGGAACUCCAUCUGCCUUUUGUUGCUGCCGGAGGGAGUCAGGGGCUGGAUUCGCCCUUGAACGGGGAGAGAGGCAGCGGGGAGGGCGAGGACCGCGGGGAGGGGGCCGGGGCGACGUACCUGCGACAGCCACCCCUCCCCCACCCGCUGGCGCAUCCAGCGCCUGGUCACCAUCUUAGCAUUCGGCACACGCCUGCGCACACGCGCACGCACACGCGCGCACACACACACACAUGCUCACACAUGUCACUCCUGUCUUCCUCCACCGCCCUCCGAGGUUCCCUGUGCACCAGGAAGGGAGCCUCUGACCAGAGAAAAAAGAAAGGAAAGGAGAGAGAGGGCGCAAAGCCCAUUCCGAGUUACCGUAGUUACCGUAGUUACGGGCGCCGAGGACUCGCGGGGCGGGCACGGCCCCCUUCCUGUCCUGAGGACCCUCCCUCCCGGCCCCUCCGUCACCCCAUUAACAAGCCGGGGCCCUUGUUCCGAGUUCUGCGGCAGAAAGGGAAGAUUCAAGGACUUUUCAAUAGGCGAGAACUCCCUGGGCGGCUCUGAGGAGUUGCUUUUUGUGUGGCGGCGGCGAGGGACUGGCGACUCCACCCGCUCCCCCUGGCCGCCGCCUCCUGCCUGGAGCCGCCGCCGCUCCCGGGCCCCCGGGUCCCCGCGUCUCCCGGUGGAUGUGCUUGUUCGUCGGGAGCCCAGUCCUUUAUUUUUGCUGCCUUUCUCUCCUGACACCCUCAGCUUAGCAGAGGCCACGGGUGCCUCUGCCUCUCAGGGGAGCUAGAGCAUCCUCAGGGAAUGCUGGAAAGGCUGAAACCUCGGAGUGGGGCUCCACACGGAGUCCCCGGUUCCUGCCCUGGGCCGGGGAGCAGAGGCCCGCUCCCCCAUCCAGGUGCUGGGCCUGCCGCCUUGGCCAAGCCUGUGCCCGGUGCCCGGUGCCCGGGGCGGGCUGGCCAGAGGGAGAUGGCGGCGGCAAAGGAGGCAGACGAGCAAAUCCGUUUCCUCCGACGCUGCAUAUCUUAGGAAAGCACAUUUCAGCUCUUUUGGCUUUUGGCAAGCUGGUCCCAGCCUUUAAUUUUCUAAUAAAAAGGAAUCACGUUUGCUGAAAAGGCAGGAACUGGCUCCCGUCACUGUCUCUCCCAGAGACCAUAGUUCCCAUCUGGGGCGCCUGCCAGCCUGGGGGGUGGGCGGUGGGCUCCUGCGACCCCAUGUGGCGUUGUCCAGGGCCAGGGGGGCAGGGGCGCUGGGGCACACAGCAGAGGGCAGACAGUGCCCGUGUACCCUGGCCCAGCCUCGGCCGCAGUCCAGGCUGGCAGGGGCCCUGAGACUCAGGCGGAUGUUUGGUGACUCUUCUGCUGGAAUGAAGGAAGGAAGGGACGGACGCUCUUCGCUGAGGCCCCGGGGUAGCUGGCAGGCUGCUCAGAGGGUCAGAUCUUUGUUGCCUGAAACGGUGCACAUGUGCACACGUGCUCCCUUGAGUCUGAAGUCACCUACCUGGAGGGCCUUGCCAGCCCCGCAUCCCCCAAACCCCUGGCACUGACUCACCAGAAACUUUGCCAAAAAUCAUACCUUUAAAAAAAACAACAUGCAUUCAUUGUUUUUAAAAAAAGACAUAGUAGGAGUUCCCUUCGUGGCGCAGUGGAAAGGAAUCCGACUGGGAACCUUGAGCUUGCGGGUUUGAUCCCGGGCCUCGCUCAGGGGGUUAAAGGACCCGGCGUUGCCGUGAGCUGUGGUGUAGCUCCCAGAUGCGGCUUGGAUCUGGCGUGGCUGAGGCUGUGGUGGAGGCCAGCAGCGACAGCUCCGAUUGGACCCCUAGGCUGGGAACCUCCAUAUGCUGCGGGUGUGGCCCUAAAAAGCAAAAAAAGAAAAAGACACACACACAAAAGACCUAACAGAAGCGUGUGAAGUUGGAAGAUAUUUUUUUUUUUUUUGUCUCUUUAGGACCGCACCCAAGGCACAUGGAAGUUCCCAGGCUAGGGGUUGAAUCACAGCUGCAGCUGGCGGUCUACACCACAGCCACAGCAACACCAGAUCCGAGCCGUGUCUGUGACCUCCACCACAGCUCAUGGCAACGCCAGACCCUUAACCCACUGAGCGAGGCCAGGGAUCGAAUCCACAUCCUCGUGGUUCCUAGUCAGGUUCAGGUUCGUUACCACUGAGCCACAGCAGGAACCUGAGUUGGAAGUUCCUGCUCCCACAGUAACCCCCGCCCCCGACGCCCCUGGGCGGGGGCAUCCUUGGCGCUUCCUCCCGUCCCUGGGACAUUUGGGUGUUUCUCGUCUGCUUGGGAUUUAGCUGCACCGCGCCCUUCCAUGCAGCCUGCUUGCAGCCCCGUGGGGCUCCAGCCAGGGGCACAGGAGGCGCACGGGAGGUGUUUAUGGAAGUGCCCUGUCUGUGCAGGGUGGGCACGUGGACAGCUUGUCCGCUGUUACAGGUUUCAUUCCGGUCCCAGUUUUAAACUCGGUCCUGUAGGCAGAGCCCUUGAUAAAUGGCAGGCUGUGCGAUUUGGAGGGAAUGUUACUCAGUUGCGUGCCCCAAAGGUUUCUCGUGUCCCUUCUGUGUGCCAGGCUGCCAGGCCCAGCGAUCCCACCACAAUGCCAGAGGGGUGAGGAGGCCCUGGAGGGACAUCCAGGAGCCCCGCGGCGGCCCCAGCCCUGGCGGCUCAUCACUGCUGGUGCCCAGAUGCUGUCAGACUGGCUCAGGGCGCUGGCAAUGCCAGGGCAUGUGGGUGGGUGGCACAUCUCCCGCUCAGGGCUCUCCCCGGGGCUGUCCCCUGCCCCACGGCCCGCUCAGGUGCCGGGCUGCUGCUCUUCAGCCAGCACACUUGGGAGCAGCCUGGGGCUCGUGUGGCUGGGCACUCGGGCAGAGACACCCAGAAAUGCCCGGCACACCGCCCCAGUCCUCAGCCCGCCUGAACCACGGUGCCCCUCGUUGGUCCUCAGGACUCCUCUGGGCAGCGCCCCAGCUGGGCGGGGAGGGGAGUCGGGAGUGGGAACGGGCAGUGGGGCCCGUCACUGUGUCCCCUGCAUGGUGCCGGGCACGGGGUGCCGAAGACACAGCUCACCAAGAUGUGUGGCCGUGCAGAGGGCGGCCCGUGGACGCACGCCCGCCUGGGCUCCCACGUGUUCCCAGGACUGGCCCCUUUCUUAUUGAUGCCAGCCUGGCUGGGUGAGGCCCAGGGCCGUCCGGGGUGGCACAGGCUGGGCUUCGUGGGGGUGCAGAUGCCGGCCCAUCUGCUCUGUGAAGUGGGCCGAGCUGCCCACACACCCAGGGCGGCUGUGAGAAGGGUGGCAGGGGACAAGGGGGACGAGGCCCUGCCCAGGACAGGUGAUCUCCCAUGGGGAGGCUGCAGUGCGCUUUACAUUAAAAAAAUAUAUACAUAUAUACACAUGUAUAUUAUAUAUACUCAUUUUAAUAUGUGAAACAUACAUUUAAUAUAUUUACGUAUAUUUAUAUAAAUAUGUACUGACUAUAUUACAGAUAUUUAGUGUAUUUACUGUGUGUAUUAUAUGUAUAUUACAUGUAUUUGUAUUUUUUUAGGGAGAAGAAAGCUGGUUGUGAAUAGAAAGAGGAAAAGCAGAGUUCCUGUGGGGCUCAGCCAGUUAAGAACCCAACAUGGUGUCCAUGAGGACACGGGUUCGAUCCCUGGCCUCGCUCUGUGGGUUAAGGAUCUGGCGUUGCCGUGAGCUGUGGUGUGGGUCGCAGAUGUGGCUCGGAUCCCGUGUUGCUGUGGCUGUGGUGCAGGCCGGCAGCUACAGCUCCGAUUAGAGCCCUAGCCUGGGAACCGCCAUAUGCCGCAGGUGCAGCCUUAAAAAGAAAAAAACGGGGGGAGUUCCCGUCAUUGCGCAGCAGAAACAAAUCCAACUAGGAACCAUGAGGUCGGGGGUUCGAUCCCUGGCUUUGCUCAGUGGGUUAAGGAUCCAGCAUUGCUGUGGCUGUGGUGUGGGCCGGCGGCUACAGCUCCGAUUAGACCCCUAGCCUGGGAACCUCCAUAUGCUG